GCAGCCGCGGUAAUACGUAGGUGGCAAGCGUUGUCCGGAAUUAUUGGGCGUAAAGGGCUCGCAGGCGGUUUCUUAAGUCUGAUGUGAAAGCCCCCGGCUCAACCGGGGAGGGUCAUUGGAAACUGGGAAACUUGAGUGCAGAAGAGGAGAGUGGAAUUCCACGUGUAGCGGUGAAAUGCGUAGAGAUGUGGAGGAACACCAGUGGCGAAGGCGACUCUCUGGUCUGUAACUGGCGCUGAGGAGCGAUAGCGUGGGGAGCGAACAGGAUUAGAUACCCCCGUAGUCCCUGUCUCUUAUACACA
RNAcentral lists this ribosomal RNA (302 nucleotides) under uncultured bacterium. RNAcentral describes it as "partial 16S ribosomal RNA". It matches the Rfam family "Bacterial small subunit ribosomal RNA", at positions 511 to 810 of the family's 1533-position model. The record is from RNAcentral.